GAGUUUGAUCCUGGCUCAGGACGAACGCUGGCGGCGGGCUUAACACAUGCAAGUCGCAGGGGAUUCAGGCCUUCGGGCCUGAUGAGACUGGCGCACGGGUGCGUAACACGUAAGCAAUCUGGCUGCAGGAGGGGGAUAACCCCGCGAAAGCGGGGCUAAUACCGCAUAUUUUGCUUCGGCCGCAUGGCCGGGGCAGCAAAGGAGCAAUCCGCCUGCAGAUGAGCUUGCGGUGCAUUAGCUAGUUGGGGAGGUAACGGCUCCCCAAGGCGAUGAUGCAUAGGGGUUCUGAGAGGAAGAUCCCCCACACUGGCACUGAGACACGGGCCAGACUCCUACGGGAGGCAGCAGUGAGGAAUAUUGCGCAAUGGAGGCAACUCUGACGCAGCCACGCCGCGUGCCGGAUGACGGUCCUAUGGAUUGUAAACGGCUUUUUACAGGGAAGAACCGCUCUGACUCGUCAGGGCCUGACGGUACCUGUGGAAUAAGCACCGGCUAACUCCGUGCCAGCAGCCGCGGUAAUACGGAGGGUGCAAGCGUUGUCCGGAAUUAUUGGGUGUAAAGGGUGCGCAGGCGGAGGUUUAAGUCCGGGGUGAAAUCUUGCCGCUCAACGGUAAAAUGGCCCCGGAUACUGGAUGUCUUGAGUGUGACAGAGGCCGGCGGAAUUCGUAGUGUAGCGGUGAAAUGCACAGAUAUUACGAAGAACACCAGUGGCGUAGGCGGCCGGCUGGGUCACAACUGACGCUGAGGCACGAGAGCGUGGGGAGCGAACAGGAUUAGAUACCCUGGUAGUCCACGCCGUAAACGAUGAGUGCUAGGUGUCGGGGGUCAAACCUCGGUGCCGGAGCUAACGCAAUAAGCACUCCGCCUGGGGAGUACGCUCGCAAGAGUAAAACUCAAAGGAAUUGACGGGGACCCGCACAAGUAGCGGAGCAUGUGGUUUAAUUCGAAGCAACGCGAAGAACCUUACCUAAACUUGACAUCCUUCUGAUCGGACCUUAAUCGGUUCCCUCCUUCGGGACAGAAGUGACAGGUGGUGCAUGGUUGUCGUCAGCUCGUGUCGUGAGAUGUUGGGUUAAGUCCCGUAACGAGCGCAACCCUUGUCUUUAGUUGCCAGCAAGUAAUGUUGGGCACUCUAGAGAGACUGCCGUGGAUAACACGGAGGAAGGUGGGGAUGACGUCAAAUCAUCAUGCCCCUUAUGUUUAGGGCUACACACGUGCUACAAUGGCCGAUACAAUGGGUUGCCAACCCGCGAGGGGGAGCUAAUCCCAUAAAACCGGUCGUAGUCCGGAUCGCAGUCUGCAACUCGACUGCGUGAAGUCGGAAUCGCUAGUAAUCGCAGAUCAGCAAUGCUGCGGUGAAUACGUUCCCGGGCCUUGUACACACCGCCCGUCACACCAUGGGAGUCGGUUGCACCAGAAGUCGGUAGUCUAACCUUCGGGGGGACGCCGCCCACGGUGUGGUCGAUGACUGGGGUGAAGUCGUAACAAGGUAGCCGUAGGGGAACCUGCGGCUGGAUCACCUCCUUUCU
This 1529-nucleotide ribosomal RNA is filed under the name uncultured bacterium. RNAcentral describes it as "bacterial SSU rRNA". It matches the Rfam family "Bacterial small subunit ribosomal RNA". The record is from RNAcentral.